GAGAGAGCGAGAGAGACAGGUCAUCACUGGGCCAGGACUUGGAGACAGACAGGCCACCACUGGGCUAGGACUGGGAGAGAGAAACAGGUUAUCACUGGGCCAGGACCGGGAGAGAGAGACAGGUCAUCACUGGGCCAGGACCGGGAGAGAGAGACAGGUCAUCACUGGGCCAGGACCGGGAGAGAGAGACAGGUCAUCACUGGGCCUGGACUGAGAGACAGAGAGAGACUGGUCAUCAAUGGGCCAGGACUGAGAGACAGAGAGAGAGAGAGAGAGAGCGAGAGAGACAGGUCCUCACUGGGCCAGGACCGGGAUAGAGAGACAGGUUAUCACUGGGUCAGUACUGAGAGAUAGAGAGAGACCGGCCAUAACUGGGCCAGGAUUGGGAGAGACAGGUCCUCAGUGGGCCAAGACUGAGAGAGAGACAGGCCAUCACUGGGCCAGGACUGGGAGAGAGAGAGAGAGAGAGACAGGUCCUCACUGGGCCAGGACCAGGAGAGAGAGACAGGUCCUCACUGGGCCAGGACUGAGAGAUAGAGAGAGACAGGUCAUCAAUGGGCCAGGACUGAGAGAUAGAGAGAGACAGGUCAUCAAUGGGCCAGAACUGAGAGAUAGACAGAGACAGGGCAUCAAUGGGCCUGCAAACCAUCCUUAAGUAACCUGGAGAGACGGGCAUUAUCACCCAAUGCCACCUUGAUGGUGAAAUAAAAGAGAUAGAGAGAGCAAGAGAGAAACAGUGAGAGACACACAGCAAGAGAGAAAAAGAGACACAUAGAGAAUCAAGGGAGAAAGAGAGGGACAGAGGGUAAGAGAGACCGUAGUAUACAGAGAAGGGCCACGAGCAGCCAAUGCCAGCUUAUUGGUGAGAAGUAGAGAUAGAAAUAAAGAGAGAGCACAUAACAAGAAUCCCAUGCCAGCUUGUUAUGGGUGAAAAGUAGCACCUGUCCUUUAAGCAGAGAGCAGAGUGACGCCAGCAUUAGCAUGAUAAAACCAUCCCCACUCCCCCUACCCAGAGAAGUGUCAAGAGUUCUCUCAAAACACAUACUAACAACCCAUCUAUCUAUCCAACCUCUCUCUCUCCUUCUCUCUCAUCUCCCCAUACACCCUCUCUAUGUACCCCCCCCCCCCCCCCCGAUAUCUACAGAGGGCAUGGGACCAUUCCCAGGGUGAUUAUCCCAUGCCAGGUGCCCUCUCCUACCCCCUCUCCCUCAAUCCCCCUCACCCUCACUUCCUCAGCCCCCCCC
Molecule: long non-coding RNA, 1244 nt
Organism: Esox lucius (northern pike)
Lineage: Eukaryota; Metazoa; Chordata; Actinopteri; Esociformes; Esocidae
Source: Ensembl